UACGAGGGGUGCAAGCGUUUGCUCGGAAUUACUGGGCGUAAAGCGAGUGUAGGCGGUUUGGUAAGUCGGAUGUGAAAGCCCCGGGCUCAACCCGGGAAGUGCACUCGAUACUGCCAAGCUAGAGUAUCGGAGAGGGUGGCGGAAUUCCCCAAGUAGAGGUGAAAUUCGUAGAUAUGGGGAGGAACACCGGUGGCGAAGGCGGCCACCUGGACGGUAACUGACGCUGAGACGCGAAAGCGUGGGGAGCAAACAGG
This 254-nucleotide ribosomal RNA is filed under the name uncultured bacterium. RNAcentral describes it as "partial 16S ribosomal RNA". It matches the Rfam family "Bacterial small subunit ribosomal RNA", at positions 524 to 776 of the family's 1533-position model. The record is from RNAcentral.